This 1905-nucleotide ribosomal RNA is filed under the name human gut metagenome. RNAcentral describes it as "bacterial LSU rRNA". It matches the Rfam family "Bacterial large subunit ribosomal RNA", at positions 1 to 1985 of the family's 2925-position model. The record is from RNAcentral.
UGAAGUAAGUAAGGGCGUACGGUGAAUGCCUUGGUGCCAACAGGCGAAGAAGGACGCGGCAAGCUGCGAAAAGCCUCGGGAAGCUGCAAGCAAGCGAUGAUCCGGGGAUAUCCGAAUGGGGUAACCUGAUCGAGGCAAUACUCGAUCGUUCAUACCUGAAUACAUAGGGUAUGAAACGUGAAACCCGCUGAAGUGAAACAUCUCAGUAAGCGGAGGAAAAGAAAGAGAAAUCGAUUCCGUAAGUAGUGGCGAGCGAAAGCGGAUGGAGCCCAAACCGAAGGUAUUCCUUCGGGGUUGUAGGACCACGUCAUAUUCGACCAUACUGGAUAGUAGAACAGCCUGGAAAGGCUGGCCGGAGAAGGUGAAAGCCCUGUAGACGAAAUCCAGAGUGGGAAUUAGUGGUAUCCUGAGUAAUACAUCACACGUGGAACGAUGUAUGAACCCGCGCGGACCACCGCGCAAGGCUAAAUACUAGUUGGCGACCGAUAGUGAACAAGUACCGCGAGGGAAAGGUGAAAAGAACCGCUGUGAGCGGAGUGAAAUAGAACCUGAAACCGUAUGUCUACAAAGUGUCAGAGCAGAGCAAUCUGCGAUGGCGUGCCUUUUGUUUAAUGAGUCUGCGAGUCAGUGUUUGUGGCAAGACUAAGGGCUUCCGGCCCGGAGUCGCAGCGAAAGCAAGUCCGAACAGGGCGCAAUAAGUCGCAGGUACUGGACCCGAAGCGGAGGUGACCUACCCUUGGCCAGGUUGAAGCAUGGGUAAAACCAUGUGGAGGACCGAACAGGUGAACGUUGAAAAGUUCUCUGAUGAGCUGAGGGUAGGAGUGAAAGGCUAAUCAAACCCCGUGAUAGCUGGUUCUCUUCGAAAUGCAUUUAGGUGCAGCGUCACGUGCUGAUGCGCGGGGGUAGAGCACUGACAAGGCUAGGGGGCACACCCGCUUACCAAACCUUAUCAAACUCCGAAUACCGUGCAAUGGAACGUGGCAGUGAGACAGUGGGGGAUAAGCUUCAUUGUCGAGAGGGAAACAACCCAGACCAGCAGCUAAGGUGCCUAAAUAACGCUCAGUGGAAAGGAUGUGGGAUUACACAGACAGUGAGGAUGUUGGCUUAGAAGCAGCCACCAUUUAAAAAAUGCGUAAUAGCUUACUCAUCGAGUGAUCCUGCGCCGAAAAUGAUUGGCGAUCAAGCGUUAUACCGAAGCUCUGGACUUUGCCGCAAGGCAGAGUGGUAGAAGAGCGUUGCAUGCGCGUCGAAGGGCGAUGGCGACUGACCCUGGAGCACAUGCAAGUGAGUAUGCAGACAUGAGUAACGUUAAGCCGGGUGAAAUCCCCGGCCGCCGUAAACCCGAGGUUUCCAGGGCAACGUGUUUCGUCCCUGGGUUAGCCGGGACCUAAGCCGAGGCCGAGAGGCGUAGGCGAUGGACAUCAGGUUAAUAAUCCUGAGCUCGCAACCCUUAAACUGGGGGGACGCAUGAGAAAAGAUGACUAGGUUAUUGAAUUCCGAGUUGAGUCCACGGACUCAGCGCAUCAUUGGAUCGAGUGCCAAGAAAAGCCCCAGCGUAUGCUAAGCGACCCGUACCGCAAACCGACACAGGUGGGUGGGUAGAAUAUACCAAGGCGUAAGAGUGAAACCUGGUUAAGGAACUCGGCAAAUUAGCCCCGUAACUUCGGAAGAAGGGGUGCCUGCAGCGAUGCAGGCCGCAGAGAAAUGGCCCAACCGACUGUUUAUCAAAAACACAGCACUCUGCAAAGACGCAAGUCGAAGUAUAGGGUGUGACACGUGACCAAUGCCGAAAGAUUAAGGCAAGGGGUUAGCCGCAAGGCGAAGCUCUAAACCCAAGUCCCGGUGAAUGUCGGCCGUAACUAUAACGGUCCUAAGGUAGCGAAAUUCCUUGUCGGGUAAGUUCCG